Molecule: long non-coding RNA, 1026 nt
Filed under: Felis catus (domestic cat)
Lineage: Eukaryota; Metazoa; Chordata; Mammalia; Carnivora; Felidae
Description: lncRNA (ENSFCAG00000041706.2)
Source: RNAcentral
AUGACCAAGAAAUGCCUGAAGCCCCUGCCGACUGUAUGUUUAAAGGUGACCCUCGAUUUAUUUAUGAGGCAGUGGAGUCCUUUAACUUUUGAACUUUUUGAUGGGUUGAGCCUGCCAAAAUGUGAUUCCAGAAGCAUUUUGAGUGGCAGCUCUGGGACCCGGCUCGCGGCAAGGCUAUGGGACAACGUGUGCCAAGAUGAGCCUCCAGAGGCCACCCAGGGAAAGGGACCGAUCGACUGCAGCUGUGGGAGAAGAUACUGCACCAACUAUGUGAUUUCUGUAAGCCUCCUGUGGGCGGAGGUGGCAGGAAGGGGGAGGCAUGCGGUCGUUCCCGGAGAGUGGACCAGGCAGAAAUGGCAACAGGUGUCCAUUACGUUCAUUACACAGGGGAGAGAUCUGAGCCUCAGACGGGCCAACUUUGUAAUGUCAUACAGGUGGUCUGUCAGUGGGGUGGGGAUGGGAACACACGGCCAUCUGAUUCCCCAGAAUAUUUCCUUUGUGUCGUCCCAAGGUUUCUCAUGGUGUGAGAUGCGUGCCAAAUGUGGUGUUUGAGGUGACUUUUGGUGCUACCUAAAUGGACAUUUAAAAUUUAAUGUGUGUUAGAAAAAGAAUAACCACGUAAAACAAUAUCGAAUUUCUUUAAGUUUAUUCAUGUAUUUUUUUUUUGAAAGAGACAGAGACAGCACAAGUGGGGGAGGGGCAGAGAGAGAAGGGGAGAGAGAGAGAGAGAGAGAGAGAGAGAGAGAAUCCCAGGCCGGCUUUGUGCUGCCAGGACAGAAUCCCAACAUGGGGCUCAAACUCACAAAAACAUGAGCCCAUGACCUGAGCAGAAUCCAAGAGUCAGACACAACCUACUGAGUGCCCCUGGCACCCUUAGAAUUUCUUUUUUUUUUUGUAAGUUAUUUUAUUUAUUUAUUUAUUUAUUUAUUUAUUUAUUUAUUUUUCAAUAUAUGACAUUUAUUGUCAAAUUGGUUUCCAUACAACACCCAGUGCUCAUCCCAAAAGGUGCCCUCCUCAAUACCCAUC